GUAGGUGGCAAGCGUUGUCCGGAAUUAUUGGGCGUAAAGCGCGCGCAGGCGGUUUUUAAGUCUGAUGUGAAAGCCCACGGCUCAACCGUGGAGGGUCAUUGGAAACUGGAGAACUUGAGUACAGAAGAGGAAAGCGGAAUUCCACGUGUAGCGGUGAAAUGCGUAGAGAUGUGGAGGAACACCAGUGGCGUAGGCGGCUUUCUGGUCUGUAACUGACGCUGAGGCGCGAAAGCGUGGGGAGCAAACAGGGAUUAGAUACCCUGGUAGUCCACGCCGUAAACGAUGAGUGCUAAGUGUUAGGGGGUUUCCGCCCCCUUAGUGCUGCAGCUAACGCAUUAAGCACUCCGCCUGGGGAUACGGCCGCAAGGCUG
RNAcentral lists this ribosomal RNA (371 nucleotides) under uncultured organism. RNAcentral's name for it is "partial 16S ribosomal RNA". It matches the Rfam family "Bacterial small subunit ribosomal RNA", at positions 527 to 896 of the family's 1533-position model. The record is from RNAcentral.